UAAGGAGGAUCCGAGCGUUAUCCGGAUUCAUUGGGUUUAAAGGGUGCGUAGGUUGUUUUAUAAGUUAGCGGUGAAAUACCGAUGCUCAACUCGGGUGCUGCUUCUAAAACUGUACGACUUGAGUGCAGUAGAGGUUAGUGGAAUUCCUAGUGUAGCGGUGGAAUGCGUAGAUAUUAGGAGGAACACCAGAGGCGAAGGCGGCUAACUGGACUGUAACUGACGCUGAGGCACGAAAGUGUGGGGAGCAAACAGG
RNAcentral lists this ribosomal RNA (253 nucleotides) under uncultured Eubacteriales bacterium. RNAcentral's name for it is "uncultured Clostridiales bacterium partial 16S ribosomal RNA". It matches the Rfam family "Bacterial small subunit ribosomal RNA", at positions 524 to 776 of the family's 1533-position model. The record is from RNAcentral. Lineage: Bacteria; Bacillati; Bacillota; Clostridia; Eubacteriales.